UGCAGCGGCAGAGUUUUGUUUGAUUGUUUACCGUGUGUCGGUGUUCAAUGCGGGUUUCUUCGGCGAGCUGGAGCCUGUGGAUAUUCGUCUCUUGACUGCAAAGGGUGCAGUUGUUGGCGUUGUGCUUAAUAGCAUCAUUGGCGGUGCUUUUGCUGUCCUUCCCCUUUAGAGCAACCGGAGUGUUUCAGGCCGGAGGCUAGGAGGUUUCUGCCUUUUCGUAUCGGCUGCUUAGGUUGACUGUACGCCCCUCCCCGUUGCGAGGAAGUCCCUGUAAAUCCCCGGUUGCGGUAUGUUGCUAUCUCAACUUUUAAUGAUUCUAUUUUACUAUUACAUAUGUGCUUAUAUGUCUCCAUUAACCUCUGUUGCACAGGUGGCCUGCGCACUGCAAGUAACUGAGGCUUCCUUCUCCCACUGACUGCUGUUUUGUUUACAGUGAACUAUAAUACAACUACCUUUUGAUCUGCGUCCUUCCCGCGUGCCCAGAUCCUCAGCGUGGUAAAGGGUCUGCAUGCGUGAUUGUGUGGUGCCAUUGAUUGACUGGGUGUGUGUGUGUGUGCAUGCGUAAUUGUGAGGUGUGGGGUGCAUGUGUAUGUGGUUGUGUGUGCAUGUGGUUAUUUGGUUAGUUUUGUUUGGGUUUGUGUAGUUUCCUCAUUUUGUGUGUGUCCUAUAUAUUUUGUUUGUUUUGUCUCUGUAUUUUCUUUGUCCUUUUUGUGAAACCCCAUUGGUGGCAUGUUCCUCCCUAUGUCGUGGCGCCUAACACCGUUUCGUCUGCCUGGGUAUUUGUAGUGCUUUCUUUCUAACGUGCCUUGCUGUGCCUGUUUGAGGGUGUAUUGGUUUGCUGUGCUUAAUUUAUCUGUCUGUGUAAUCCCACUUUUGUUUUAUAUCCGCCUAAUCAGACGGAAAGGGACAUCUAUCGGCCAUAGAGUCCUGGGCCAUAUGCUGUAUAACCGGUGUGGGUUUUGCUGUGUCUUACCCCUUUUCUUUUGUUUCAGGAGUGGAGGCUCUCGGCAGGGAGGCUGGGCCCCUGGUGGUAGGGAAUCUGUGUGCCUCACCGUCAGUGCAGUGUAGUGUCACCUUGGUGUGCCGUGUUCACGUGUGGUCUCUUUGACCCCUCUUCCAGAUCGCCUCCCUGUGGUAAGCCCUCCCUCCUAGUUUAUGUGUUUUCCUAUACCCAAAGAACCAGUAGGCCUACUCUAACCAAACCAGUUCUGAGUGUGUGUGUAGCUGCCCCAUUUCCAUCUGAGUGCUUUUCACGCUUUUACUGUAUUAUAACUUGAC
Alosa sapidissima (American shad) is the source of this 1278-nucleotide long non-coding RNA. RefSeq lists it as uncharacterized. The record is from RefSeq and is a predicted model, not a curated record. The transcript has 3 exons. NCBI's taxonomy places the organism in Eukaryota, Metazoa, Chordata, Actinopteri, Clupeiformes, Clupeidae.